CUGAGACCUCUGCCUCCCAGGCUCCAGCAAUGGAACUACAGUUCACGUUUUGGAGACUUUUUAUGCAUCAGUUUGAAGGCUUUUAUUUAAUUUGAGAAUCAUCAGUGAGCUCAUCAAUUCUGGAAAUGGAAACAUCCCCAGUGUGCUUCAUGGAUAAAACCCUGUGACUCUGAACCCUGUCUCAGGACUUUGUGGAUUUUAACAUCACUCAUCAGCUCCGGCUUGCUGUUUAAAGUUUAUAAAAAAAUCAAUAAAAGGCAUUUAUUUAAUUUGACAUUAAUGCACCAGCUGAUCAAUUAUGGAAAUGCAAACAUUUCCAACAUGUUUUAUUGAUAAGAAUUUUAAGCAAAUAAAAGCAUCUCUUUGUA
Molecule: long non-coding RNA, 368 nt
Organism: Macaca mulatta (Rhesus monkey)
Lineage: Eukaryota; Metazoa; Chordata; Mammalia; Primates; Cercopithecidae
Source: RefSeq, a predicted model, not a curated record